Molecule: ribosomal RNA, 819 nt
Filed under: uncultured eukaryote
Lineage: Eukaryota
Description: SSU rRNA
Rfam family: Eukaryotic small subunit ribosomal RNA
Source: RNAcentral
CGGUGUUUAACUGGCGUGAUGUGGGACGUCCUACCGGUGGGCUUAGCCUCGCGAGGGGCGGCCCAACUAAUAUCCCGUCGCGGUGCUCUUUACUGAGUGUCGAGUCGGGCCGGUACGUUUACUUUGAACAAAUUAGAGUGCUUAAAGCAGGCUAUCCUCGCCUGAAUACUGCGUGCAUGGAAUAAUGGAAUAGGACCUCGGUUCUAUUUUGUUGGUUUUCGGAACCCCGAGGUAAUGAUUAAUAGGGACAGAUGGGGGCAUUCGUAUUGCGACGUUAGAGGUGAAAUUCUUGGAUCGUCGCAAGACGGACAGAAGCGAAAGCAUUUGCCAAAAAUGUUUUCAUUAAUCAAGAACGAAAGUUAGAGGUUCGAAGGCGAUCAGAUACCGCCCUAGUUCUAACCAUAAACGAUGCCAGCUAGCGAUCCGCCGAAGUUCCUCCGAUGACUCGGCGGGCAGCUUCCGGGAAACCAAAGCUUUUGGGUUCCGGGGGAAGUAUGGUUGCAAAGCUGAAACUUAAAGGAAUUGACGGAAGGGCACCACCAGGAGUGGAGCCUGCGGCUUAAUUUGACUCAACACGGGAAACCUCACCAGGCCCAGACACCGGAAGGAUUGACAGAUUGAUAGCUCUUUCUUGAUUCGGUGGGUGGUGGUGCAUGGCCGUUCUUAGUUGGUGGAGCGAUUUGUCUGGUUAAUUCCGAUAACGAGCGAGACUCUAGCCUGCUAAAUAGGCGUACCUUAUGGUAUCGCGAAGGCCCCCGGCUUCGGCCGGUGGGUUUUUACUACCAACGUACAAACAAAUCUUCUUAGAGGGACAGGCGG